AGCGUGGAGACAGGUGGUGCAUGGCUGUCGUCAGCUCGUGUCGUGAGAUGUUGGGUUAAGUCCCGCAACGAGCGCAACACUCACCCCUUGUUGCCACCAGGUCAGGCUGGGCACUCUAGGGGAACUGCCCCGGUCAACGGGGAGGAAGGUGGGGAUGACGUCAAGUCAUCAUGCCCCUUACGUCCUGGGCUACACACGUGCUACAAUGGCCGGUACAAAGGGAUGCAAGACUGCGAGGUGGAGCUAAACCCAAAAAGCCGGCCUAAGUUCAGAUUGGAGUCUGCAACUCGACUCCAUGAAGGAGGAAUCGCUAGUAAUCGCGCAUCAGCACGGCGCGGUGAAUACGUUCCCGGGCCUUGUACACACCGCCCGUCACACCACGAAAGCCAGCUGUACUCGAAGUCGCUGAG
Molecule: ribosomal RNA, 410 nt
Filed under: uncultured Methylomirabilota bacterium
Lineage: Bacteria; Methylomirabilota (SeqCode)
Description: bacterial SSU rRNA
Rfam family: Bacterial small subunit ribosomal RNA
Source: RNAcentral